GACGAACGCUGGCGGCGUGCUUAACACAUGCAAGUCGAACGGAAAGGCCCCUUUGGGGGUACUCGAGUGGCGAACGGGUGAGUAACACGUGAGUAACCUGCCCUUGACUUCGGGAUAACUUCAGGAAACUGGGGCUAAUACCGGAUAGGAAUCCUUGCUGCAUGGUGGGGGUUGGAAAGCUUCGGCGGUUUUGGAUGGACUCGCGGCUUAUCAGCUUGUUGGUGGGGUAGUGGCUUACCAAGGCUUUGACGGGUAGCCGGCCUGAGAGGGCGACCGGCCACAUUGGGACUGAGAUACGGCCCAGACUCCUACGGGAGGCAGCAGUGGGGAAUAUUGCACAAUGGGCGGAAGCCUGAUGCAGCAACGCCGCGUGCGGUAUGACGGCCUUCGGGUUGUAAACCGCUUUCAGCAGGGGCGAAGCUUGUGGUGACGGUACCUGCAGAAGAAGCACCGGCUAACUACGUG
RNAcentral lists this ribosomal RNA (465 nucleotides) under uncultured bacterium. Its description in RNAcentral is "partial 16S ribosomal RNA". It matches the Rfam family "Bacterial small subunit ribosomal RNA", at positions 28 to 507 of the family's 1533-position model. The record is from RNAcentral.